UUCGUACGCGUGUCGCCGCAGCCCCGCGCGUUUGGCUAGUCAGUCAGUCAGUGAGCGAGACCGGGUACGUUCGUCCCAACGUUCGCUAAACGUUUCGUAGAAAACGCUCGACACUUAAAUCCGCGAGAUAGGUGGUUUCUACCUAUCCGACCCUCCGUCCAACACUGCCACUACCACCGCCACCGUUAUCUCACGUGUUACGCCGACAGCUUUCCUCCGACCGUUUGCCGACUCGACUAUCGCCGAGUACGUGUUACUAGACCACGAGGUGACAUGACGCGUCUAUCGGCCCCGUUACGGCCAUGGUGUCCUCUCCGCCGUGAUGUAUAGAUGAAGCAUGACUGUCCCUCGACCGGCGGAACCGGCACCGUUCAAGUUCCGCACUGCACCUGCAAUGGCAAAAUAUAUUGGAGUAGUCGGAAAGCAAUAUCAGUAAACGGUUUUGGUGAUGAGGGUGUGGUUGCUGUUAGCGUGGUAUGCGGUAACUGCGUUCGGACAACGGCCUACGCCCAACAAACGACACGACGUUUACAUCGCAGGAUUUUUCCCAUUUGGCGGCCGUGUGUCUGGAAGCAUACCGGAAGGAAGAGUCGGCAGGGGUGUCAUGCCAGCCGUAAAGUUGGCCGUGGAUCACAUAAACGAGAAUCCAACUUUGUUGCGAAACUAUCGACUGCAUGUUUGGUGGAACGACACUCAGUGCAAUGCUGCGGUGGGUUUGAAAGCAUUUUUCGACAUGAUGCACGAGGGUCCACACAAAGUAAUGUUGUUUGGAGCAGCUUGUACUCAGGUGACAGAUCCAAUUGCCAAAGCUUCCAAACAUUGGAGGAUAACACAGUUAUCUUAUGCAGACACUCAUCCAAUGUUUACAAAUACGGAUUUUCCAAAUUUUUUUCGAGUCGUUCCCAGCGAAAACGCUUUCAAUGCUCCACGGCUUGCAUUACUAAGGCAUUUCAACUGGACAAAGGUCGGUACCAUAUAUCAAAACGAACCUCGAUACGCUUUGGCUCACAACCAGUUGGUAGCUAUGCUAGAAAAAGACAACUUUGUUGUGCUGGAUACUCAAAAUAUUGCAGGUGACGUAUCACUGCCUAUUCAAAAGCUCCGCGAAAAAGACAUCCGAAUUAUUUUGGGUAAUUUUAACGAGACUUGGGCUAAGAAAAUUUUUUGUGAAGCAUACAGGGUAGGAAUGGUUGGUGGAAAAUAUCAGUGGCUAAUUAUGGGUACAUAUGGGCCUAAAUGGUGGAAUGAAAUAAAAUCUCCUUGUCCUGUGCCACAUCUACUCGCUGCUUUAGAUGGAUGCAUCUUGACAGACUAUUUGCCAUUAUCUACUACUGGCGAAAUAACUGUAUCAGGAAUCACAUCUAAAGAAUACCAACAAGAGUACGAUAUGAGACGAGGAUCUGAGUAUUCAAGAUUCCAUGGGUAUACGUAUGAUGGAGUGUGGACUGCUGCUCUGGCUAUACAGGAAGUAGCCCGAAAAGUACAUCAGUCGGCUCACGACAAGGGCACUCUGAACAGAACCAUAGCAGAUUUUCAGUAUAGAGAUCACGAAUGGGAAAACCUAUUCCUCGAAGCUUUACGAGAUACUAGUUUUGAAGGCGUAACGGGACCUGUAAGGUUUUAUAACAACGAAAGAAAAGCCAGUAUACUACUAAAACAGUUUCAAGUGAACAAAGAAGUCAAAAUUGGCGAAUACAAUGGAGUAACGGGCACGCUAGAUCUAAGUGUAGGUAAAGAAGUCAAAUGGAGAGCUGGUGGUAAAGGUCCCCCUAAAGACCAAACGCUUACCAUUUAUGAAGAUUCACAUGUUAACGUGGCGGUCUAUAUUGGGCUAGCAGUAGCUGCCAUCAUUGGUAUUGUUAUUGCUACGGCAUUUCUAAUCGUGAAUAUAAAAUAUAGAGACCAAAAAUACAUAAAAAUGUCAAGUCCACACUUAAAUAACUUGAUCAUAAUUGGAGCCAUGCUGACAUAUAGCAGUGUUAUUUUCUUAGGUCUCAACAGUAGAAUGACAAGCAUUAAUAUGUUUCCUUAUAUAUGUGCAGCUAGGGCAUGGCUAUUAAUGGCAGGGUUUUCUUUAGCAUUUGGAGCAAUGUUUUCAAAAACUUGGAGAGUACAUUCAAUUUUCACCGAUAUCACUAUAAAUAAAAAGAUUGUAAAAGAUACUCAGCUAUUUUUAAUGGUUGGAAUACUAUUGUGCAUUGACUUAGGAAUUAUGUUCACGUGGCAAUUUUCUGAUCCAUUUUACAGAGAAACUAAACAAAUGGAACCAUAUCCUCAUCCACAUAAUGACGACAUUGUGAUCAUACCGUGCAAUGAGUACUGUCAAAGUGAUCACAUGACAGUGUUCCUCGCCGUCAUUUAUGUGUAUAAGGGGGCGUUAAUGGUAUUCGGAGCUUUUUUGGCCUGGGAAACUCGACACGUGAGCAUACCUGCACUUAAUGAUUCCAAGUACGUAGGUAUGAGUGUCUACAAUGUUGUUCUUAUGUGUGUUGCUGGUGCUGCCAUAUCGUUUGUUCUAAGUGACCAACAAGAUGCGUCAUUCAUUAUCAUAUCGGUUUUCAUACUAUUUUGUUCUACUGCUACCCUCUUUUUAGUGUUUAUUCCUAAAAUCGUAGAGUUGAAGAGAAAUCCUCAAGGUGUAGAUAAACGAAUCCGAGCAACGUUAAGGCCUAUGUCAAAAACGUAUAAGGAUAUUUGUGAUUCAGAGGAACAAAUCCGAGCUCAGCGAAAUAAAAAUCAGCAAUACAGACAACAGUUGUUGGAUGUCGAUCGAGAGAUUGAUGCAAUGGUACUGAAGAUCGACACAUAUCGUGCUCUUAAGCUAUCUGAACAAAAACGAAAAGCUUUAGAAGAAAAGCAAAUCAAAGUAGAAGCCAUUCAAGAAGAAUCAAAUAGCAAUAUCGAUUUAUUAAUCGAAGAAGUACCUCCAGAGAAAACAUCGUUUCAAAGACAUACAAGAAUACCGUCAAUAUCUGUCGAACAGCCUUUGUCAUAUUGUGUAGAAUCUUCAAGACCUAUAACAUAUACACCAUCACCUACUCGGACGUGUCAAAGGCGGUCAAGUUCUUCAAUGGCGCCAGUUAUAGGAUGUAACCAUAGAAGGCCGUCAAUUCCACAAGCCAAAAAGACCUGUCAGCAGCCUACAUUUGUACACCAAGACGAGCUCUGGUUAACUCAGACACAACGUCACGCCAACCGGUCGCCACCGCCAAUCACGAGAGGUUUGCUCAACAAUGUCGAUUCACCGACUGAUGACGAAGAAGACAGUUCAUCUUCGCCAACUGCUAGUACAAUGCACCGAUCGGUGUCCGAGAAGAGUUCGUCCAGAAGUCGGGGCCCGGGACUAAGGCGUCCUUCAGCCCCUCACAUGCACAGUACACCCAAUGUCUACGGUCGAUGGCGAGAGUCCGGUUCUGGCGGCGAAUCGCCUACGGACGCACCAUCUGUAGGUGGUUGUCACUCCAGAUUACCUCCUUCAGCCGCCUCUGGCAUGUCUCGCGUAAAUACACUGUCCGAAGGUGAACUACUUGAUGUUGCCAUAUUACCUAUUUUCCAAAAAUUACUAACUGAAAGGCGAGCACAUAAGUCAACAUUACACCACCAUCAUCAUCAUCGAGCAUCGAUUGCCUCUUGCCCAAACAUUGCGGUCAAAUGUGAUAUUGUUGAAUAUUUAUAAGAAUUUGGACCCAUAAUAAGUUAGUUAGCAAGAAGAGCAAUACUACGAAUAUUUUAAAAGAGUAACCUGCCUAUGAUGUUGGGACCAAAAGACGAGAAGAUAUUCAAAUACAUUAAGUUGGCCGUAUACGAGCCUGUAAAAAUAAUUUUUUUACCAAACUACUACUUAGUACUGUAAUAUUACUAUUAUUAUUGUCAUUAUUGUUGUUUUAACAUUUUAAGAAGUAUAAUGUGUUACUAUUUUUUUAAUGUUAUUAAUUAAAUUGCAAGAUCUACGAUUUGUAAAUUAAACAUACAUACAUAAAUACUUAUCAAAGACAAAAAUGUUAAUAAUUACAUUUAAUUUAAAAUUAUAUAAUUCUGAUAGUUAUAUGAUUAUUUGUUAAUAUUUCAAUUGGUUAAAUGACUUUUGAAUUUAUUUAAAAAUAAAAUAGUUCAAUUUAUUUAACAUCAAGUUUUGGGAGCAUAACUUUGUUUCAUCUCUAAUCUAUAUAAAAAAUUGUUCCAGCCAUUAUCUUUUUUACAUAUGUUUAAAAUCAACCUUAUCUAUAAAAUUAUGCAAAAUAGCUCUAUGAUUAUCAAAUUUUUUAUUUAUUAUAUAGAAUGUAAUUUUGGACAGCAUAACUUUAUUAAUCUCUGGUAAAAUUAAAAAUUUAAUAAUGGGUCACAUUGAAACUUUUUUUUUACAAAUACUUAAAAUACUAUUUUGUAAGUUUUCGCAAUUACGCAUUACCACAAAUGUGGUGAAUAAUUUUCAAAUUUAUAUAAAGAUUCAAGCAGUAAAAAAUAAAUUAAUAAAAUAUUGGAGAAAUGCUUUAAAAUUUAAACUAAGGCAAUUAGAUAUUAAAUUUUAUAUCAUAUAUAUUUCAUACAUUUUGGUAGAGCCAAAGACUCAAUUUGAAAAGUAACUCAUAAUAAUAUAAAACUAUUGAAAUCAUUUAUAAUUGGUAAAUAAGUUAAUAUAAAAUUAAAUUGUAAAAAUUAAAUUUUAUAUUUUCUAUGUAUUUAAAUAUUUGUUAUUUAUUCAAUACCGUCUCUUUACUUGUUUAUAAAUAAUUUAAUUUGAGUCUUAAUAAAUCGAUUUAGAAAUUUUUACAAAUGAAAUUUCGAUUAAUGUAUGAUAAAUUAUUAGUUUUUCAUGUGACUUAUGCCUACUUGUGCUUAACACAAUUUUUUUUAUUUUAAUAGAAUUUUGAACUUUUUAAUAAAAUUGUUUCAAUUUGAACCUCGUAAAAUAACACGUAAUAAGAUUGUAAUAACAUAAUUUUUAUGCUACUUGAGUUAUUUAGUUAAUUUUAAUAAUUUGUAAUUUUUUUUUCAAUUAAAAGCAAUUUAAAUAAAUGCUCUCCUUAUUUUCGCUAUUUACCUACAGCUGGCGAAAUUGGUGAUAUUAUUUAUAAUAUAUCCUAAGUACUUAAUAUAUAAAUGAAUGUAAAAUUUGUACAUAUUGUAAUAUUGUUGUUAAGUAAUUUGUUACGAACAUAUAAUACUUUGGUGGACAGUGUCCAAAAAGAAAUAAGCAAUCUUAGGACAAUCCUCCGGAAUUCGAUUUAUUACUUGCCUUACUUGUACUGUUUUUCUGAUCCUUGUCAAUUUAGAUUAUUAAAAUAUUAUUGUUUUACAA
This is an RNA transcript of Daktulosphaira vitifoliae (grape phylloxera), 5299 nucleotides long. It is a transcript of the gene named gamma-aminobutyric acid type B receptor subunit 2, with no coding region annotated. The record is from RefSeq and is a predicted model, not a curated record. The transcript is spliced from 20 exons. NCBI's taxonomy places the organism in Eukaryota, Metazoa, Arthropoda, Insecta, Hemiptera, Phylloxeridae.